This 218-nucleotide ribosomal RNA is filed under the name halophilic archaeon. Its description in RNAcentral is "partial 16S ribosomal RNA". It matches the Rfam family "Archaeal small subunit ribosomal RNA", at positions 1258 to 1478 of the family's 1478-position model. The record is from RNAcentral. Lineage: Archaea; Methanobacteriati; Methanobacteriota; Halobacteria; Halobacteriales.
GGACUGAAACUCGUCCUCAUGAAGCUGGAUUCGGUAGUAAUCGCCGUUCAGAAGACGGCGGUGAAUACGUCCCUGCUCCUUGCACACACCGCCCGUCAAAGCACCCGAGUGAGGUCCGGAUGAGGCCUGGAUACCCAGGUCGAAUCUGGGCUUCGCAAGGGGGCUUAAGUCGUAACAAGGUAGCCGUAGGGGAAUCUGCGGCUGGAUCACCUCCUAAC